CCUACGGGAGGCUGCAGUGAGGAAUAUUGGUCAAUGGGCGGAAGCCUGAACCAGCCAAGUCGCGUGAGGGAUUAAGGCCCUGCGGGCCGUAAACCUCUUUUGCCGGGGAGCAGUGGUCCGGACGCGUCCGGACCGGGAGAGUACCCGGAGAAAAAGCAUCGGCUAACUCCGUGCCAGCAGCCGCGGUAAGACGGAGGAUGCGAGCGUUAUCCGGAUUUAUUGGGUUUAAGGGGUGCGUAGGCGGGCAUUUAAGCCGGCGGUCAAAUGCCGGGGCUCAACCGCGGCCUGCCGUCGAAACUGGGUGCCUUGAGUGGACGAGAAGUGUGCGGAAUGCGUGGUGUAGCGGUGAAAUGCGUAGAUAUCACGCAGAACCCCAGUUGCGAAGGCAGCAUACCGGCGCGCUACUGACGCUGAGGCACGAAAGUGCGGGUAUCGAACAGGAUUAGAUACCCUUGUAGUC
RNAcentral lists this ribosomal RNA (460 nucleotides) under uncultured bacterium. RNAcentral's name for it is "partial 16S ribosomal RNA". It matches the Rfam family "Bacterial small subunit ribosomal RNA", at positions 338 to 795 of the family's 1533-position model. The record is from RNAcentral.